CAUAUAUAUAUAUAUAUUUUAGCAAAAUGUUGAGCUUACACAUCAAAACAAGUUAACUGAAUGUUUACUAUAUUUCGCUCAAUGAACAUAAAUAAGAAAGUUGAGUAAACUCAAUAUUUUGACGACUUCGUUUGAGCGGUUAACUUCACAUCACUGCGCAUGAGCAAAGCGCCGUCUCUGGAUUAUACACGGGGUUUUCAAACAUCAACAACGAAGAAAAGGGGAAAAGGGAGUCUCCUUGACAAGGACACUGAGCCAGAGGAUGUCCAUCCAAGGGGAUGAAGAUGAGCAUCUUAUGUAUCACUGGAAGAUGAUGUUGUCACCAUCCACUCAAACCCAGAGGUGCCUAGCUGUAGUCCUAGAGACGCAGAUUGUGCUGGAAUAUAUACAUGACCUUACCACUGCUGUUGCUGUCCUUUUGGCUUAAUUUAGUUCACCCAAAAAAUGAAAAUUCGGUCAUCAUUUACUCACCGUCAUGUCGAUAAGACAUUUGUUCAUCUUCAGUACACAAAUGAAGAUAUUUUUAAUGAAACCUGAGAUAUUUCUGUCCAUCCACUGAAAAACUAUUCACCUAAAAUUUCGAUGCUUCAAAAUGUUUAUAAAGAGAUUGUAAAAUGACUCCAUAUGAAUCAAACAGUUUAAUCAAAGUCUUCUGAAGAGACGUGAUCAUCACAUUACACAUUACGCAUUUCACAAUAAAUGCUGCUCCAUCUCUGCAAGUGCCAUGAGUUUGAGUCUUAUAUAACGUGUAUUCAUAAAAAAACAACACAGAAAUUAUAUUAAUUUUUAGUAUUCUAUACAGCUUAAAAACUGUCAAUUAGCAUUGCAUAAUAAGUACACUCUAAAAAAGAUGGUUCAUUAAAGGUUUGUUACAUGUAGUAACACUUCUAUUUAGAACCGAGUUUAGGGUUCUUUAUUCCUGCCUUUUUGUUUUUAAAAUCUGUAACUGUCAAAGCUCCUCAUUACUGAUUUUCUGGAGUUCAGCCAUCCAGCUAGACUGUCAACAGUGUCAACAGGUAAAAUUAUUUCUUACAAUGUCAAUAAAUGAUAACUUUCAUAUUGUAACUGGUUUCUCAGUAUCAAUAAUGUAUUUUUCUUUUUUAGUUUCUUUUUAGUGUGACCAGCUCUGUUCAGUUAAGGAUACUCUCUUCUUCUCCACUAAAUUCACAACCUCAUCAUCUGCAGAGAAACCGCCACCCAAUUACACCAAAAUGAUGGACUUAAAGGCAUCACAGAGGAUCCUGACGAUACAGUAUUUCACUGGAGC
This is a long non-coding RNA of Onychostoma macrolepis, 1267 nucleotides long. RefSeq lists it as uncharacterized. NCBI's taxonomy places the organism in Eukaryota, Metazoa, Chordata, Actinopteri, Cypriniformes, Cyprinidae. The record is from RefSeq and is a predicted model, not a curated record. The transcript is spliced from 3 exons.